RNAcentral lists this transfer RNA (59 nucleotides) under Pseudoalteromonas citrea. RNAcentral describes it as "tRNA-Lys". It matches the Rfam family "tRNA", at positions 8 to 62 of the family's 71-position model. Rfam says of the family: Transfer RNA (tRNA) molecules are approximately 80 nucleotides in length. Their secondary structure includes four short double-helical elements and three loops (D, anti-codon, and T loops). Further hydrogen bonds mediate the characteristic L-shaped molecular structure. tRNAs have two regions of fundamental functional importance: the anti-codon, which is responsible for specific mRNA codon recognition, and the 3' end, to which the tRNAs corresponding amino acid is attached (by aminoacyl-tRNA synthetases). tRNAs cope with the degeneracy of the genetic code in two manners: having more than one tRNA (with a specific anti-codon) for a particular amino acid; and 'wobble' base-pairing, i.e. permitting non-standard base-pairing at the 3rd anti-codon position. The record is from RNAcentral. Lineage: Bacteria; Pseudomonadati; Pseudomonadota; Gammaproteobacteria; Alteromonadales; Pseudoalteromonadaceae.
AUUAGCUCAGUUGGUAGAGCAGUUGACUUUUAAUCAAUUGGUCGAUGGUUCAAAUCCAU